GUGGGGAAUAUUGGACAAUGGGCGAAAGCCUGAUCCAGCCAUGCCGCGUGUGUGAAGAAGGUCUUCGGAUUGUAAAGCACUUUAAGUUGGGAGGAAGGGUAGUAACCUAAUACGUUGCUACUUUGACGUUACCGACAGAAUAAGCACCGGCUAACUUCGUGCCAGCAGCCGCGGUAAUACGAAGGGUGCAAGCGUUAAUCGGAAUUACUGGGCGUAAAGCGCGCGUAGGUGGUUCAGUAAGUUGGAAGUGAAAUCCCCGGGCUCAACCUGGGAACUGCUUUCAAAACUGCUGAGCUAGAGUACGGUAGAGGGUGGUGGAAUUUCCUGUGUAGCGGUGAAAUGCGUAGAGAUCGGGAGGAACAUCCGUGGCGAAGGCGGCCAUCUGGACCAGCACUGACACUGAGGCACGAAAGCGUGGGGAGCAAACAGGAUUAGAUACCCUUGUAGUCC
RNAcentral lists this ribosomal RNA (450 nucleotides) under uncultured bacterium. RNAcentral describes it as "partial 16S ribosomal RNA". It matches the Rfam family "Bacterial small subunit ribosomal RNA", at positions 354 to 796 of the family's 1533-position model. The record is from RNAcentral.